Molecule: transfer RNA, 82 nt
Filed under: Cytophagales bacterium
Lineage: Bacteria; Pseudomonadati; Bacteroidota; Cytophagia; Cytophagales
Description: tRNA-Leu
Rfam family: tRNA
About the family: Transfer RNA (tRNA) molecules are approximately 80 nucleotides in length. Their secondary structure includes four short double-helical elements and three loops (D, anti-codon, and T loops).
Source: RNAcentral
GCGGAAGUGGCGGAAUUGGUAUACGCGCUAGAUUUAGGAUCUAGUGUUGCAAGACUUAGGAGUUCGAGUCUCCUCUCCCGCA